Molecule: long non-coding RNA, 309 nt
Filed under: Salvia miltiorrhiza (redroot sage)
Lineage: Eukaryota; Viridiplantae; Streptophyta; Magnoliopsida; Lamiales; Lamiaceae
Description: long non-coding RNA (SMIL_LNC000923)
Source: RNAcentral
UUUUUUCAAAUAUUGUUCAUGAGUUAUGUUAAUUGUUACUGGCGUUGUAUUUUUUUUUUUCAGUUUUUUAGUUUGUUGUGGUAUGUGGUUCAUCGUGGAUGUUGUUUUUCUGAACUCGUUGUUAUUGUUUAAAGCAUUUACUGUAUGUUAUAAAUCAUAUGUUUUUAGGAAAAGAAAUGAUAAGUUGAGAUGAAAUAUUGUUCAUUGAUUUUUUUUGGAAUUAUUCAUGAAUCACACCAGAUUAUUCAUUAAUCAUCGACCAACUAAUUUAGAAAAAUCACUCGAAAUUUAAGAUAAACAACCUAAAAA